AAUCCGUCGACUUUCAAAAUCGUGAGGGUUCAAGUCCCUCUAUCCCCA
RNAcentral lists this transfer RNA (48 nucleotides) under Pitraea cuneato-ovata. RNAcentral describes it as "partial tRNA-Leu". The record is from RNAcentral. RNAcentral also lists the same sequence under 2 other names. Lineage: Eukaryota; Viridiplantae; Streptophyta; Magnoliopsida; Lamiales; Verbenaceae.